Molecule: long non-coding RNA, 1034 nt
Organism: Ananas comosus (pineapple)
Lineage: Eukaryota; Viridiplantae; Streptophyta; Magnoliopsida; Poales; Bromeliaceae
Exons: 3
Source: RefSeq, a predicted model, not a curated record
GUUUUUUCUUUUUUGACCGCUCCUCUCCUUCGUGGUUUUGCUUCUUUAUCUCGGCGUCUCCUCUUCCGCCUCUUCGUUAGCCCUCUCUAUUAAGAGGAUUUUGACUCUUCGUUGCUGUCUCUUCGUUUUGCGUAAACGCACCUCGCCUAUCCCGUCAAACGCCUCGGCCAUACCAUCAGACGCGUUUUUAUGGAAUUUGUGAAAAAAAAAAGGUUUUUUUUAGAGGUUAUUAGGGCGGAGCCAGGGAAGAAGAAGGAGGGGUCGUGGCAAUGUGGAGGGUUUACUCGCUGAAGGAGCUUCAAUCGGCGACAAACAGCUUCGAUUACAACAGAAAAAGAUAUUCUUCUUAUUUUCAUCAUCAAAGUCUGCAAGGAAUUAGGGUUCUUCAAGUUAUCAACCAUGCCAUUCCGAACAAUGUUAUUGCCCAAAUGGAGGCUGCAGGCUUCGACUUCUUCGCUCUUCUGGCCUAGGAGAAGCAGAAAUCUGGGCCACUGACCCCAUUGGGCUAUGAAAUAAAGUACAAAUAUAGGGUUCAAUGCUGGUCAAAAGAGUUGUAGUACCUCCUCUUGCAUGCAAACAACCAUUUUUUCUCUCAAAAAGUGAAGAUGAUGAGUAGAAAGGAUCCAUUAAAAUUCAGGUAAUCGUCUAGAGGAUGUGAAAGUAAUAUCGACAUACUGGGCUCAACCAGUGGCAUAUACUGUUAAAUUAUGCAGCUAAUUAGAUCAAAUUCAUGAGUUUUAUAAUAAGGUACUAACAAGGAUUUUUUUAUAUCAAAACCAACAAUAGAGGGCUUCUAUUUUAGGGAGUGAGUAAUUUGAUGGAUUGUUUAUUGUGCUUAGUGCAAUCUCUUUACAAAGCAGUGCACUCUCUGGCUAGAUACAGCUUGGCUCCAAUUGGUUUAAUUUUUUUCGCCCCUUUUAAUACUCAUCUAAAUUUGUGCUUAUCUUGGCUUUGCCAUCGAGAUAAUAUAUGUCAUAGAAAUUGACUUGGUAUAAACUUAUUACCCUUAGUAAUAAAUUUGUUUUUUUUUUUAA